This 581-nucleotide ribosomal RNA is filed under the name fungal yeast sp. Urf726. RNAcentral's name for it is "eukaryotic LSU rRNA". It matches the Rfam family "Eukaryotic large subunit ribosomal RNA", at positions 37 to 622 of the family's 3401-position model. Lineage: Eukaryota; Fungi. The record is from RNAcentral.
UGCAUAUCAAUAAGCGGUGGAAAAGAAACUAACAAGGAUUCCCCUAGUAACGGCGAGUGAAGCGGGAAGAGCUCAAAUUUGAAAUCUGGUGGCCUCAGGUCAUCCGAGUUGUAAUCUAUAGAAGUGUUUUCCGUGCUGGCUCAUGUACAAGUCCCUUGGAACAGGGCGUCAUAGAGGGUGAGAAUCCCGUCCUUGACAUGAACUACCAGUGCUCUGUGAUACAUUUUCAACGAGUCGAGUUGUUUGGGAAUGCAGCUCAAAAUGGGUGGUAAAUUCCAUCUAAAGCUAAAUAUUGGCGAGAGACCGAUAGCGAACAAGUACCGUGAGGGAAAGAUGAAAAGCACUUUGGAAAGAGAGUUAAACAGUAUGUGAAAUUGUUGAAAGGGAAACGAUUGAAGUCAGUCGUGCUCUUUGGAUUCAGCCGGUUCUGCCGGUGUACUUCCUUUGAGUGGGGUCAACAUCAGUUUUGAUCGCUGGAUAAAGGCUGGAGGAACGUAGUACCCUCGGGUAAACUUAUAGCCUCCUGUCACAUACAGUGGUUGGGAGUGAGGAACGCAGCACGCCUUUAUGGCCGGGAUUCG